Molecule: ribosomal RNA, 255 nt
Filed under: uncultured bacterium
Lineage: Bacteria
Description: partial 16S ribosomal RNA
Rfam family: Bacterial small subunit ribosomal RNA
Source: RNAcentral
UACGGGGGGAGCAAGCGUUGUUCGGAUUUACUGGGCGUAAAGGGCGCGUAGGCGGUCGUGACAAGUCACUUGUGAAAUCUCCGGGCCUAACUCGGAACGGUCAAGUGAUACUGUCGGACUAGAGUACAGAAGGGGCAACUGGAAUUCUCGGUGUAGCGGUGAAAUGCGUAGAUAUCAAGAGGAACACCUGCGGCGAAAGGCGGGUUGCUGGGCCGACACUGACGCUGAUGCGCGAAAGCUAGGGGAGCGAACGGG